UCUGGUAAUGAUGGCAGAGAGGUCACACCCGUUCCCAUACCGAACACGGAAGUUAAGCUCUCUAGCGCCGAUGGUAGUUGGGAC
RNAcentral lists this ribosomal RNA (84 nucleotides) under Bacillus cereus. RNAcentral also lists the same sequence under 140 other names. The record is from RNAcentral. Lineage: Bacteria; Bacillati; Bacillota; Bacilli; Caryophanales; Bacillaceae.